This 72-nucleotide transfer RNA is filed under the name Gonocephalus grandis (Giant forest dragon). RNAcentral describes it as "tRNA-Asn". Lineage: Eukaryota; Metazoa; Chordata; Lepidosauria; Squamata; Agamidae. The record is from RNAcentral.
CAGGAUUAGUGGGCCUCGAUCCCACAAAAAACAGUUAACAGCUGAACACCCAACCAAGAGGGCAUUAAUCCA